GGAGGAAGUAGGGGAUCGCAAGACCUUGCGCUUUUGGAGCGGCCGAUGCCUGAUUAGCUUGUUGGUGAGGUAAAAGCUCACCAAGGCUUCGAUCAGUAGCUGGUCUGAGAGGACGACCAGCCACACUGGGACUGAGACACGGCCCAGACUCCUACGGGAGGCAGCAGUGGGGAAUUUUGGACAAUGGGGGCAACCCUGAUCCAGCCAUGCCGCGUGAGUGAAGAAGGCCUUCGGGUUGUAAAGCUCUUUCAGCCGGAACGAAACGGUUACGGUUAAUACCCGUGACUACUGACGGUACCGGAAGAAGAAGCACCGGCUAACUACGUGCCAGCAGCCGCGGUAAUACGUAGGGUGCGAGCGUUAAUCGGAAUUACUGGGCGUAAAGCGUGCGCAGGUGGUUUUGUAAGUCAGAUGUGAAAUCCCCGGGCUUAACCUGGGAACUGCGUUUGAAACUACAAAGCUAG
Molecule: ribosomal RNA, 464 nt
Filed under: uncultured bacterium
Lineage: Bacteria
Description: bacterial SSU rRNA
Rfam family: Bacterial small subunit ribosomal RNA
Source: RNAcentral